GAUGAACGCUGGCGGCGUGCCUAAUACAUGCAAGUCGAGCGAACGGACGAGAAGCUUGCUUCUCUGAUGUUAGCGGCGGACGGGUGAGUAACACGUGGAUAACCUACCUAUAAGACUGGGAUAACUUCGGGAAACCGGAGCUAAUACCGGAUAAUAUUUUGAACCGCAUGGUUCAAAAGUGAAAGACGGUCUUGCUGUCACUUAUAGAUGGAUCCGCGCUGCAUUAGCUAGUUGGUAAGGUAACGGCUUACCAAGGCAACGAUGCAUAGUCGACCUGAGAGGGUGAUCGGCCACACUGGAACUGAGACACGGUCCAGACUCCUACGGGAGGCAGCAGUAGGGAAUCUUCCGCAAUGGGCGAAAGCCUGACGGAGCAACGCCGCGUGAGUGAUGAAGGUCUUCGGAUCGUAAAACUCUGUUAUUAGGGAAGAACAGAUGUGUAAGUAACUGUGCACAUCUUGACGGUACCUAAUCAGAAAGCCACGGCUAACUACGUG
Molecule: ribosomal RNA, 497 nt
Filed under: uncultured bacterium
Lineage: Bacteria
Description: partial 16S ribosomal RNA
Rfam family: Bacterial small subunit ribosomal RNA
Source: RNAcentral